This 324-nucleotide ribosomal RNA is filed under the name uncultured bacterium. RNAcentral describes it as "bacterial SSU rRNA". It matches the Rfam family "Bacterial small subunit ribosomal RNA", at positions 28 to 334 of the family's 1533-position model. The record is from RNAcentral.
GACGAACGCUGGCGGCGUGCCUAACACAUGCAAGUCGAACGGAACUUAUCGAAUGAAGUUUUCGGAUGGAUUUUGGUAAGUUUAGUGGCGGACGGGUGAGUAACGCGUGAGUAACCUGCCUUCAAGAGGGGAAUAACGUUCUGAAAAGAACGCUAAUACCGCAUAACAUACGGAUGUCGCAUGGCAACCGUAUCAAAGAUUUUAUCGCUUGAAGAUGGACUCGCGUCCGAUUAGCCAGUUGGCGGGGUAACGGCCCACCAAACCGACGAUGGAUAGGGGUUCUGAGAGGAAGGUCCCCCACAUUGGUACUGAGACACGGACCAA